CACGUGGACUGUUACAUCAAACCGUAGUAGACACUCCUUGCAGUUUCGAGACGGGACAGGAAGAAGCGUGAA
This 72-nucleotide non-coding RNA is filed under the name unclassified sequences. Its description in RNAcentral is "RAGATH-18 RNA". It matches the Rfam family "RAGATH-18 RNA". Rfam says of the family: Actinobacteria, Firmicutes, Fusobacteria, Thermotogae (1 example). Nearby to self-cleaving ribozyme genes The record is from Rfam by way of RNAcentral.